RNAcentral lists this ribosomal RNA (253 nucleotides) under uncultured bacterium. RNAcentral's name for it is "partial 16S ribosomal RNA". It matches the Rfam family "Bacterial small subunit ribosomal RNA", at positions 524 to 776 of the family's 1533-position model. The record is from RNAcentral.
UACGGAGGGGGCUAGCGUUGUUCGGAAUUACUGGGCGUAAAGCGCACGUAGGCGGCUUUGUAAGUAAGAGGUGAAAGCCCAGAGCUCAACUCUGGAAUUGCCUUUUAGACUGCAUCGCUUGAAUCAUGGAGAGGUCAGUGGAAUUCCGAGUGUAGAGGUGAAAUUCGUAGAUAUUCGGAAGAACACCAGUGGCGAAGGCGGCUGACUGGACAUGUAUUGACGCUGAGGUGCGAAAGCGUGGGGAGCAAACAGG